RNAcentral lists this long non-coding RNA (1703 nucleotides) under Gallus gallus (chicken). RNAcentral's name for it is "lncRNA (ENSGALG00010000194.1)". Lineage: Eukaryota; Metazoa; Chordata; Aves; Galliformes; Phasianidae. The record is from RNAcentral.
CAUCAUCCCCCCAUCCCAACUUGUGGGUCGCUUCAUGGGGGGGGUUAUGGGGUUAUGGGGGGUUAUGGGUCCCCCUUCGUCCCCCCAUCCCAACUUGUGGGUCGUGUAAUGGGGGAGGGUUACGGGGGGGUUAUGGGUCCCCCUUCAUCCCCCCACCCCAACUCCUGGGUCGCUUAAGGGGGGGGUUAUGGGGUUAUGGGGGGGUUAUGGGGGGGUUAUGGGUCCCCCUUCAUCCCCCCAUCCCAACUCGUGGGUCGCUUAAUGGGGGGGGUUAUGGGGGGGUUAUGGGUCCCCCUUCGUCCCCCCAUCCCAACUUGUGGGUCACUUAAGGGGGGGUUAUGGGGGGGUUAUGGGGUGUGUGGGGGGGUUAUGGGGUUAUGGGGGGGUUAUGGGUCCCCCUUCGUCCCCCCACCCCAACUCGUGGGUCACUUAAGGGGGGGGGGGGGGGGGGUUAUGGGUCGCUUCACGGGGGGGGGGUUAUGGGUCCCCCUUCAUCCCCCCAUCCCAACUCGUGGGUCACUUAAGGGGGGGUUAUGGGGUGUGUGGGGGGGUUAUGGGUCCCCCUUCAUCCACCCACCCCAACUCGUGGGUCGCUUCAUGGGGGGGUUAUGGGGUUAUGGGGGGGUUGUGGGGGGGUUAUGGGUCCCCCUUCGUCCCCCCACCCCAACUCGUGGAUCUCUUAAUGGGGGGGUUAUGGGGUUAUGGGGGGGUUGUGGGGGGGUUAUGGGUCCCCCUUCAUCCUCCCCCCCAACUCGUGGGUCACUUAAGGGGGGGUUAUGGGGGGGUUAAGGGGGGGUUAUGGGUCCCCCUUCGUCCCCCCACCCCAACUUGUGGGUCGCCUAAGGGGGGGUUAUGGGGGGGUUAUGGGUCCACCUUCGUCCCCCCUCCCCCAACUCGUGGGUCGCUUAAGGGGGGGUUAUGGGGGGGUUAUGGGGUUAUGGGGGGGUUAUGGGUCCCCCUUCGUCCCCCCACCCCAACUCGUGGGUCGCUUCAUGGAAGGGUUAUGGGGGGGUUAUGGGUCCCUCUUCAUCCCCCCAUCCUGACUCGUGGGUCGCUUAAGGGGGGGGGGUUAUGGGUUUAUGGGGGGGUUAUGGGGGGGUUAUGGGGGGGUUAUGGGUCCCCCUUCGUCCCCCCACCCCAACUCGUGGGUCGCUUAAGGGGGGGGUUAUGGGGUUAUGGGGGGGUUGUGGGGGGGUUAUGGGUCCCCCUUCAUCCUCCCCCCCAACUCGUGGGUCACUUAAGGGGGGGGGUUAUGGGGUUAUGGGGGGGAUAUGUGGGGGUUAUGGGUCCCCCUUCGUACCCCCACCCCGACUCGUGGGUCGCUUCACAGGGGGGGGGUUAUGGAGGGGUUAUGGGGGGGUUAUGGGGGGGUUAUGGGUCCCCCUUCGUCCCCCCACCCCAACUCGUGGGUCACUUAAGGGGGGGUUAUGGGGGGUUAUGGGGUGGUUAUGGGGGGGUUAUGGGGGGGUUAAGGGGGGGUUCUGGGGCGGUUCGGGUCGCGGGGCUCAGCUGAUGUAGACGCGGUGGAAGUCGUGGGCCCCGAAGGCGGCGUUGCAUUUGGGGCACUUCCUCUGGCGGGUGUCGUAGCGGCUCUUGACGCACUCGAAGCAGAAGACGUGGAAGCAUUUGGUCAGCACCGCGUCCUUCUUGCGCGCGUUGCAGCACGGGCACGUCAGGCGGGCCUAUGGGGGGGGGGGGGGGGG